RNAcentral lists this ribosomal RNA (253 nucleotides) under uncultured bacterium. Its description in RNAcentral is "partial 16S ribosomal RNA". It matches the Rfam family "Bacterial small subunit ribosomal RNA", at positions 524 to 776 of the family's 1533-position model. The record is from RNAcentral.
UACAGAGGUGGCAAGCGUUGUUCGGAAUUACUGGGCGUAAAGGGCGCGUAGGCGGCCUUCUAAGUCAGACGUGAAAUCCCCCGGCUUAACCUGGGAACUGCGUCUGAUACUGGGAGGCUUGAGUAUGGGAGAGGGUAGUGGAAUUCCUGGUGUAGCGGUGAAAUGCGUAGAUAUCAGGAGGAACACCCAUGGCGAAGGCAGCUACCUGGCCUAAGAUUGACGCUGAGGUGCGAAAUCGUGGGGAGCAAACGGG